This 548-nucleotide ribosomal RNA is filed under the name Scinax strigilatus. RNAcentral's name for it is "partial large subunit ribosomal RNA". It matches the Rfam family "Bacterial large subunit ribosomal RNA", at positions 1861 to 2603 of the family's 2925-position model. The record is from RNAcentral. Lineage: Eukaryota; Metazoa; Chordata; Amphibia; Anura; Hylidae.
GCCCAGUGACCCUAGUUCAACGGCCGCGGUAUCCUAACCGUGCGAAGGUAGCGUAAUCACUUGUUCUUUAAAUGAGGACUAGUAUGAACGGCAUCACGAGGGUUUUACUGUCUCCUUUUUCUAAUCAGUGAAACUGUUCUCCCCGUGAAGAGACGGGGAUAGACAUAUAAGACGAGAAGACCCUAUGGAGCUUUAAAUUUUAUUUCAACUGCUUUCUUCCCAUAACCAGUCCCGACCUCUUUUACCGAAUCAAGCACUAUGAUAAUAAAUUUUAGGUUGGGGUGACCGCGGAGCACAAAAAAACCUCCGUAUUGAAUAAAGGCCUUCAGCCCUGAGCAAAGAGCUACGACUCCAAGCAAUAAUACUUUAACAUCCAUUGACCCAAUAUUUUUGAUCAACGAACCAAGUUACCCUAGGGAUAACAGCGCAAUCUACUUUGAGAGCCCCUAUCGACAAGUGGGUUUACGACCUCGAUGUUGGAUCAGGGUAUCCCAGUGGUGCAGCCGCUACUAAAGGUUCGUUUGUUCAACGAUUAAAACCCUACGUGA